This is a non-coding RNA of Pocillopora verrucosa, 1029 nucleotides long. NCBI's taxonomy places the organism in Eukaryota, Metazoa, Cnidaria, Anthozoa, Scleractinia, Pocilloporidae. The record is from RefSeq and is a predicted model, not a curated record.
CUGGUAAUGUGUAUUCAUUGAGUUCAUACAUCGUCCAGACGAUCCGUCGGAGUGCGCUUUAGGAAUCAAAUACCUCUUACUUUUCAGAAGCUUUAAGCAAGGGCACUUUUGUAAGAGAUUUUGGUACACAUACUGAGAUAAUUGAUUUGGAAGGCUCAGAUAUUAAAGCUGACAUGGAGUCUCGCCUUGUUCAGUGGCAAGGCAAGUUGGAUGAGCUACAUGUCUUUUUCAAGAAGUUGUGCAAGUCACGCAAAAAGUCACUAUUCACUAUUCACUAUUUUUUUUCUUGCGUUAGAUCUGCUUUUUUCGAUUCGAUUGCACCUUGACUAUUUUUGUACCGCUACUCCUCUUGCGUUAUAUUUAUUUAAAUGAGCAAUCUUUAAAAGACAGGAAAUGUCCUUCUUUCAAUAAAGUGGCGGAAUAAAACAAUUACACAAAGAUAUUACUAUGAUACUUUUUGGUAGGAAAUAUUUUAUUUUUGACCAGCACUGUUAUGCCUAAUUUUGUCCAUAAAGGGACAAAAUUGCUCCGAUUUUGAGACGACAUUACAGCUUUUUGGCAGCGAUCGCCAAGAAACUGAAUGUGCCACGGAAUUACACCCAAUUAAGAAAGAUAUUUUCUCCCUUCCAGCAGUCAUUAGAAAGCCGUUUUGUCCCCUCAAAAUCGGAUGUAGUUCACACGUUAAGGGUAAUAAACUGAUAAAAAAUGAUUUACAAUUAUCCUGUUGUCAAUAGGUUCUUAUUCACGUAAGCUGGGUCAUAAACUAUUUCUUGUGGCAGAAUCAUGGGGAAGAAGUUGUCCUUCAUUUUAAAAUCGCUGAAAUUGUAGUAACUAAACUUUGAAUGAAACUAUUGUAGGAAGAUUCAUUACUUGACGAGGGAAUUCCGCAUUUAAUUGCACGCGAAAAGCGAUACGCGAAGCGAUGAGUGCGAUAUCGGUUUUUAAGUGCAAUUUAACGCGGAAUUCACGAGCCAAGUAAUGGAUUUUCCUUGAAUCACAUAUUUGAAUAAAAACAAGAUAAAAAGAAAA